Molecule: ribosomal RNA, 394 nt
Filed under: uncultured bacterium
Lineage: Bacteria
Description: bacterial SSU rRNA
Rfam family: Bacterial small subunit ribosomal RNA
Source: RNAcentral
AUUGAACGCUGGCGGAAUGCUUUACACAUGCAAGUCGAGCGGCAGCGCGGGGGCAACCCUGGCGGCGAGCGGCGAACGGGUGAGUAACAUAUCGGAACGUACCCCGUCGUGGGGGAUAACACAGCGAAAGCUGUGCUAAUACCGCAUACGACCUGAGGGUGAAAGCGGGGGAUCGCAAGACCUCGCGCGAUGGGAGCGGCCGAUAUCGGAUUAGCUUGUUGGUGAGGUAAAGGCUCACCAAGGCGACGAUCCGUAGCUGGUCUGAGAGGACGACCAGCCACACUGGAACUGAGACACGGUCCAGACUCCUACGGGAGGCAGCAGUGGGGAAUUUUGGACAAUGGGGGGCAACCCUGAUCCAGCCAUUCCGCGUGAGUGAAGAAGGCCUUCGGUU